Molecule: long non-coding RNA, 2595 nt
Organism: Orcinus orca (killer whale)
Lineage: Eukaryota; Metazoa; Chordata; Mammalia; Artiodactyla; Delphinidae
Exons: 3
Source: RefSeq, a predicted model, not a curated record
GGCCGACGAAAACUACAUCUCCCGGCAGGCUCCGGACUCUCGUCUCCAGUUUGCGGGGCAGUAUGGGACUUGUAGGCUUAGGCCCUCGUGAUUGCUGCAGCCUGGGCUGGCCUUCCUUGCUCCGUUACUGCCCUCUCACUUUAAAUCAGCGCGUCCUCAAAGUGCCUGAUUAUAAGAAUCGUCUGCUAGGCUGAUUGAAAGUAUAGAUUCACAGAGGCAGAAAUGGAGGCACAGAAAGUUUGUUACCCUGAUCACGUAGCUAGAGGUGGAAGAGGAGGGUUUGAACAAAGGUUUCCUGAAUCCAAAUCUUGGCAAUGUUUAACCUAAGGUGUUCUACAUUCUGAGAGCUAGCUGGCAUCAAAGCAUGGCAUCUGAAUCAAAGAAAUUUGGAAGAAGAGAACUUUCUCAUCCGAGUGGCUGCCAACACCCCCGCCCCAGCUGAAGUGCUCCCUUGUUCUCGCCUGCUCUGCCCCAGAUCCGUGGGCCACUCUCCGAAUCGUUGGCAAUUUUCUCUGCACUGUCCUGACAACCUCCGGCCAUGAAAAUUAAAAAACUAGUUACCGAAUCUCGCUCCUAACGGCUUUGUCCUUGUCAGCGAUUCGACAGAGAAAUCUGGAAGAGGGAGCCUCCUUAGGCCUGCAGUGGGCUGAAAUGCCACCAGAAUGACAAUGGGCUUUGCCGUGGGAGGAGGGGAGAAUGUGCAGUGUGCCAGGAGUGAAUGAAUGAAUGAAAGGGAGAGAGAGAGAGAGAGAGAGAGAGAGAGAGAGAGAGAGAGAGACAGUGUGAGCGCACAAACUUUGGGCUUCAAAUUAAAAAAUUCCAGUGUCUCAGCAGAGGUCCUGGUGUCUGUACUCCAGGACCUUCUGCCAAAUGCUGAGCAGGGCGCUUUUCCCCAUGCCAUUGCCCUCUGGUCCUCCGCCAGGGUACAGAGCUCUGGGCUGGAGCGGGGGGCAGUCAGAAUUUGGUGAGGAAAUGGCUCCAAAGUGGGGAAAGCCCUGGGAGGCCGGCCCACCUAGUCAGCUUGCUAUCUGCCCAAGCUUCCCCCACCACCUCAAGGGUCUCCCCUGAUUUCAGACAUUAGUACUCACUCCACAUACUGUCACCGCCCCCCUCACCACCCUGCUGAAGGAAUUUUAAGAAAUCCUCAAAAACUGGAGGAAUUUUAAUUACCCUUGAUUAAGAAAAAACUUUCUAGAAGACCACUGUGAUGGGUGACUCACUGCGACAUGGGUGUCCCUGAGCUGCAGGAGGGUGGGGCUCAGCCUCGUGGCUCUGUGUCCCCAGCCCUUGGCUUUGGGACCCACACAGAGCAAAGGCCUGGCAGGUGCUUGUUGGGUGAAGGAGUAGGAACGGCUUCAUUCAGAGAGUUCUUGUUCCUGCCUCAUCCCCCCGGGGCGUGGACUUGCAGACUGACGUGGGGAUUUGCAGGGAAGCAGGAGAGAGAGGUAUCAAAGCACUGGGUCCUCAGGGCCAGGCCGAGCGAGGUCUGUGACUUCAUAGCCAAUAGACCUUGAACAAGUUGCUUAACAUCCUCAAGCGUGUCUCCUUAUCUCUGACAUGGGAAUCACCAUGGUGACCACGCAGAGGGAGGCUGUGAAUUAAACAAAGGCCUGCAGGUCUGCUUGCUGUAUAGUCAGUGCUCAAUAAGAAGAAAAACUUAACCAGGCCUAGACCCAGAGCCCCUCCCGAGAUAGGGAGACUCUUCUCAAGGGCUUCUGCCUCAUCACCCACGGAUCUUGGGAUUAGUCUCAUUACUGGACAGGCCUGGCAUCGAAGGGACCCCGGGAAGCUGGGCUGGUUCUUGCUGUUGAACUGAGCACGUGCAUUCACUCAGUCAGUCUCUCAUUCGUUCAUAAAAGUAUCAGUAUUUAUUGAGCACCUUCUACAUGCUGCCUUGUGCUGGGGUUUGGGCUAAAAGAGUAAGUGAAAGGUGGCCUGAUCUCAGUUCUUGAAGCUAACAAGAAACAAACAAGCAAAGUCAAGAUCAGAAUCAUUUGGGGUCCAGAUCAGUAGGUGGUCAGGGAAAGCUUCUCUUGUGGGGCAGUAUUUGAACCGAGAUCUAAAUAACAAGGAGCGGCCAUGCUCCGGCCGGAGGGAAGAGGGACCUGGGAAGGAAGCAAUAGUUCAAAGGCUUGGAGGUGGGGACAGGACUGGUUAGGGGGCACGUGUGGCCAAGGUUGAUGGAGCGGCGGGGUGGGGGUAGCAGAUGGUUUCUGGGAAGCCCUGGGAGAGCUCAUUUCUCCCAGGAAGGCUGCCCGGAGGACUGGGGCUGGGCCCAGAGUCCAGAACACGUACUGAGGGUGGAGUGCUUUCACCAAUGUCUCCCUGGAGGCCUGCUCUGGCCCCUCUUUGCCCUACACCUGCUGUGACUCUGCAUUAAAGGACAGAUCGUUCAGAAGAGAGGUGUAGUUCCGCCAUUAUUAUGUGUGGACCACUUUCACACAGUGCAUGUCUCCCUGACCGUGGGGGUCGCGCCUGGGUGGAGGGGGUGAAUACGCUCUCCUGUCUGCCACCAGGCUCUCCUGCUGCUCUUAGCGUGUGGAGCACACACUGCUGCUGGCUGCCAGGGGUGCAGGUAGUCCUGCUGGAAUCGGA